This is a non-coding RNA of Xylaria longipes, 71 nucleotides long. NCBI's taxonomy places the organism in Eukaryota, Fungi, Ascomycota, Sordariomycetes, Xylariales, Xylariaceae. The record is from the annotation of a GenBank genome assembly.
GCUUGUGGCUCAUUAGUAGAGCGCAGGAUUUUUUUCGAUUCUGAGGAACUGGGUUCGAUUCCCAGCAAGCA